UGCACACAUGACUUUAAGUCCCUUUGGCUAAAAGCGUCUGCUAAAUGGCAUACA
This is a non-coding RNA of Salmo salar (Atlantic salmon), 54 nucleotides long. The record is from Rfam. Lineage: Eukaryota; Metazoa; Chordata; Actinopteri; Salmoniformes; Salmonidae.